This 465-nucleotide ribosomal RNA is filed under the name uncultured bacterium. RNAcentral's name for it is "partial 16S ribosomal RNA". It matches the Rfam family "Bacterial small subunit ribosomal RNA", at positions 28 to 507 of the family's 1533-position model. The record is from RNAcentral.
GACGAACGCUGGCGGCGUGCUUAACACAUGCAAGUCGAACGGAAAGGCCCUGCUUGCAGGGUACUCGAGUGUCGAACGGGUGAGUAACACGUGGGUGAUCUGCCCUGCACUUCGGGAUAAGCCUUGGGAACUGGGUCUAUUACCGGGUAGGAGACCUUUUUCGUGUGAUGGUUGGAAAGUUUUUUGGGUGUAGGAUGAGAUCGCGGCCUAUUAGCUUGUUGGUGGGGUAAUGGCCUACCAACGCGGCGACGGGUAGCCGGCCUGGGGGGGUGGACGGCCACCAUGGGACUUAGGAUCGGCCCCGGAUCCCAAGGGGAGGAACAAGGGGGGAUAAUGCACAAUGGGCGGAAGCCGGAAGCAAGGACGCCGCGUGGGGGAUGAAGGGCUUUGGGUUGGAAACCCGUUUUGGCAGGGGAGGAACUGUGAGUGACGGUAACUAGUUAAGAAGCACCGGCUAACUACGUG